CCUGAGAAACCCAAAAGAUCGAAUGGGGAGAUUCAUCGUCAGCGACUCUGGCAAGUGUGCGGUUCGCGAUAUUGCGAGACUUCGGUCUCGCGGUACGCGUCCGCAUGUUUUUAGUGUCGGGUGUCGUCGGCGUGCACUUCUCCCCUAGUAGGACGUCGCGACCCGUUGGGUGUCGGUCUACGGCCCGGGUGGGCGCCUGUUCCGUCGUUUCGGCGUUACGGAACAGACCCCCGGUUGCCUGACCGACUGCCCGGCGGUACUCGCACGGUAUCGGGUCGCAAUUGUUGCGUCUGGCCCGCCGCAAGCGCGAUCAGUGAUACUCGGAUGUACGGACCUAGCGCCGUCACCGAGCCUGAUCAGCUGUUGGUCGGCGGUGUCCUGAGACUGGCCCUUUGAACGUAUGAUACCGGUCGGCGACGCUACUGCUUUGGGUACUUUCAGGA
This 443-nucleotide ribosomal RNA is filed under the name Odontocolon albotibiale. RNAcentral's name for it is "partial 28S ribosomal RNA". The record is from RNAcentral. Lineage: Eukaryota; Metazoa; Arthropoda; Insecta; Hymenoptera; Ichneumonidae.